RNAcentral lists this ribosomal RNA (253 nucleotides) under uncultured bacterium. Its description in RNAcentral is "partial 16S ribosomal RNA". It matches the Rfam family "Bacterial small subunit ribosomal RNA", at positions 524 to 776 of the family's 1533-position model. The record is from RNAcentral.
UACGUAGGGUGCAAGCGUUAAUCGGAAUUACUGGGCGUAAAGCGUACGCAGGCGGCUUUGCAAGACAGAUGUGAAAUCCCCGGGCUUAACCUGGGAACUGCAUUUGUGACUGCAUGGCUGGAGUGCGGCAGAGGGGGAUGGAAUUCCGCGUGUAGCAGUGAAAUGCGUAGAUAUGCGGAGGAACACCGAUGGCGAAGGCAGUCCCCUGGGCCUGCACUGACGCUCAUGCACGAAAGCGUGGGGAGCAAACAGG